Molecule: ribosomal RNA, 214 nt
Filed under: Timioderus peridentatus
Lineage: Eukaryota; Metazoa; Arthropoda; Insecta; Hymenoptera; Eucharitidae
Also listed under: 1 other name
Description: partial 28S ribosomal RNA
Rfam family: Eukaryotic large subunit ribosomal RNA
Source: RNAcentral
UUUCCCUCAGGAUAGCUGGCACUCGCUCGAACGAGUCUCAUCUGGUAAAGCGAAUGAUUAGAGGCCUUGGGGCCGAAACGACCUCAACCUAUUCUCAAACUUUAAAUGGGUGAGAUCUCUGGCUUGCUUGAACGUUGAAGCCACGAGAUAACAUUUUCAAUGGAUCAGAGUGCCAAGUGGGCCAAUUUUGGUAAGCAGAACUGGCGCUGUGGGA